CUGGGUGGAAAAUACAGAAUCUGUCAAAAAGGGGAAACUAUUUUCGAUAUAUGGAUUCGUGCUUGGAUACUCCCUCCACCAGCUCAACCCAGAGUUCAAUGUUUCAGGCCACCAGUGACUCCACCAUUGCAGCAACAACAGCUGCUUCGCAAAAGGCGGGGAAAGGGCCGAGUCUGAUUUGCCAAUCUCAUGGGAAUUGAAGAUUACCCCUCCAGACCUUUGCAGGCCGCUCUGAAGAUACAGUUUGAGGAAGGUGAGAAGACUGUUUCAAGUCAAUAUCUCGGCAACCAAUUACUGUGACAAUCACAAUCUCAAAACGCUCAUCUCAGAAAUGUAGCAUGUAACUCAACUGAGCGGAAAAGAAAUCACUUAAAAGAGGGAAAAUCCAGCCAAAAAUCCUAAGACCAAAAAUGUCGUGAGUGAAGAAAGUGAGAAGAGAAUUAUUACGGACUAUUAAAGUGACGCUUCCCCAAUCAAAGCUGGUCUUGCAGACGAAAACCCUAAGGAAGAAGAAACAGAUGCCUUUGCAUCUCAGAGUGAGUGGAGGUAUCGCCUUAUUGAAUGUAAUGUCCAGUGUUGAAUAUUAAGUAUGGCUGCACUCAUAAAAUGAAAACGUGCAUUUGACAAGAAAACGUUGGUGCAUUUGUAUUUGUGCGAAUUCGAGUGCUAUUUCUCGAAUCAU
Molecule: long non-coding RNA, 682 nt
Organism: Malus domestica (apple)
Lineage: Eukaryota; Viridiplantae; Streptophyta; Magnoliopsida; Rosales; Rosaceae
Source: RefSeq, a predicted model, not a curated record